RNAcentral lists this ribosomal RNA (200 nucleotides) under uncultured organism. RNAcentral's name for it is "partial small subunit ribosomal RNA". It matches the Rfam family "Bacterial small subunit ribosomal RNA", at positions 1183 to 1382 of the family's 1533-position model. The record is from RNAcentral.
CGUCAAAUCAUCAUGCCCCUUAUGACCUGGGCUACACACGUGCUACAAUGGAUGGUACAAAGGGCUGCGAGACCGCGAGGUUUAGCCAAUCCCAUAAAACCAUUCUCAGUUCGGAUUGCAGGCUGCAACUCGCCUGCAUGAAGCCGGAAUCGCUAGUAAUCGCAGAUCAGCAUGCUGCGGUGAAUACGUUCCCGGGCCUU